RNAcentral lists this ribosomal RNA (253 nucleotides) under uncultured bacterium. RNAcentral's name for it is "partial 16S ribosomal RNA". It matches the Rfam family "Bacterial small subunit ribosomal RNA", at positions 524 to 776 of the family's 1533-position model. The record is from RNAcentral.
GACAGAGGGUGCAAACGUUGUUCGGAAUUACUGGGCGUAAAGCGCGUGUAGGCAGCUCGGUAAGUCGGGUGUGAAAGCCCUGGGCUUAACCUAGGAAGUGCACUCGAAACUUCCGAGCUUAAGUUCUGGAGAGGAAGGCGGAAUUCUCGGUGUAGAGGUGAAAUUCGUAGAUAUCGAGAGGAACACCGGUGGCGAAGGCGGCCUGCUGGACAGUGACUGACGCUGAGACGCGAAAGCGUGGGGAGCAAACAGG